Neofelis nebulosa (Clouded leopard) is the source of this 1224-nucleotide long non-coding RNA. RefSeq lists it as uncharacterized. The record is from RefSeq and is a predicted model, not a curated record. Lineage: Eukaryota; Metazoa; Chordata; Mammalia; Carnivora; Felidae. The transcript is spliced from 6 exons.
GCAGAGAUGUGUUUCCAGCAGGUUCUGCUGCCCGCCCCAGGGGUGACCUUGGGAGCUUUGCAGCAACUUGGUGUCUCCUAAGUCGCCAGAGAGAAGUUGCCUUGUUGUACUGAGUGCUGAGGAGGGGACACUGGGUGGCUUCCCUGGGCAAGCUAGUUGCUGAGCAGCACAGGCCCUUGCAUUUUUCUGGGUUGUCCCCAUGUUUCAUUCCUCCCCUUCCCGGACAGUAUUUGAACAAUACGUAUUUUACUAAAGGACUCACGGAUUGCAGGGUCCCACAACAUCACCUCAUAGAUGCAGUGGAUAGUUUGUUCCAGAUUCAGGCUUGUUUCCAGGAAGAAAUCCUGACAGAAAUUCAGAAGAACGGGAGCUGCAUUCCGUUAGGACGUGAAUACAUGAAAUGUUCGUCUCAGGACCUUCUAGAAGAAUGAGCUGGGACCCACUUUCCGAGUCCUGCUGGAACCAGAGACCGAGGCCGCUGCUAUGACACCCGACAGGGAACCUGAAGUAGAGAGGGAUCCAGGAGCAGCCCAGCUACUCUUGGCUCCCAAAAGUAGUCACCCUGCAACUCUUUAUGAAAGAGGAGAAAACAUCACCACCACCACCACCACCACUACCAUUUCAUAACCCUGCACUGAAUGUGGAUACAACAAGAACUCACUCCCAAAAGGAAACUCCAGCAGGGUACAUGUACAGAACCUACAGUGUUGGUCAAGUAUUUUGGAUCACUAAGUGAGAUUGUACUUUUGACUGCUGAAGAAGCACGCAUCACUUAAGGCUUGCAUCUUCCCUCUACCUCUAUACUCCAAGUUCCUGGCUGGCACUGGAAUUACAUCCUUAGCAUGGGCAUCAUGCCCUCCAGGUGAGAAGAUAAAAAGGUAUUGGAAGACAAGUGUAAUGCAUUGAGGUCUGUGAAAGCCACAAAGGAACAAAAGUUAAACAGCUGAAGGAGAAAGCACAUAACCUGGAAGAAUUUUAUGAACAAAGAAAAGUGCCUACAGAAAAGAAGCUGAAAAUGACACUGAACCAGCGGCAAAGAAGAAUCAGCUGGCAGCUGCAGGUAAAACUUGAAAAUAGCUACAGAAGGGGCGCCCGGGUGGCUCAGUUGUUUAAGCGUCCAACUUCAGCUCAGGUCAUAAUUUCACAGUCUGUGACUUCAAGCAUCGUGUCAGGCUCUGUGCUGACAGGUCAGAGCCUGAAGCCAGCUUCGGAUUCUGUUACCUC